This 2284-nucleotide long non-coding RNA is filed under the name Sorghum bicolor (sorghum). Its description in RNAcentral is "long non-coding RNA (SBIC_LNC014238)". The record is from RNAcentral. Lineage: Eukaryota; Viridiplantae; Streptophyta; Magnoliopsida; Poales; Poaceae.
UGCUUAUAUAUGUCUUUUGCUUAGUGUGUUUAAUAAAUAAAUAAAGUGGCUAUGCUAAUCUGUAUCUAAAUAAAACUUAAGCAUGGAUAUGAUAAAUAGUUGCUCUGCCUAAUUUGCAAAUUUUAAGUUCUCUCACGAGUUUAGAUAUAACUGUUAUAAUUUAAAGCUUGCUCUAGACCUAAACUUGUGGGAUGAAAACUUGAUCUGAAGUCUAAGUUGUUAACGGAUAUGAUAUGGGAAGGUUGAGCUGCUGUUUAUCUGUUCCUAGAGAUGCUAGAAUUCUGGAGAAUUUUAUCUUUGAAAAUCUUUAAAAUGUUGCAUGAUGAGUUCCUGUAUGAUGAGAGUUUAAAUUCCUACCACAGCUAUAUAUAUAUGCUUGCUAGACUUUGAGCCACACAUUUACUAUUUACUGCUUAUGAGCAUUGAGUGUGGUCAAGUUGUGUUGACCAUUAAGAGCUUGUCAUGUGGUUAAAUCAAGAUUUCACUUGCACGUUCAUUCAUAUAUGCUACUUCUAUUCUGGAAGUACCAUCCACAUAUAUCCAUUCAUUUCCAUCUCCAGAAUCACCCAAAAAUAUUCUACUCCUAAUCCGGGAGAGAAUAACCAAAAAUAUUUCUGUUUUCCCCUUGUGAAAUAAAUGCUCAAGUUAUCUUGUUACUACCACUUGCUAUAUUAUCUCAAGAGAUGAGUGCUCUAAAAAAAAUAUAUAUAUAUACGAGGAAAUAAAAAGGAGCAAGUGCUCGGAACCUCGAAAGAAAAGAAAAAGUGAGACGAGAGGUAAAAAUGGACAAGUGUCCGACAGUAGAAUUAGGGGUGCAAGAUACCCACCUGAGAGACAAAAGAAAAAAAAAAGAAAAAGAAGAGCAUCUCAUUCUCCUCAUAAAGUUUCAAUAGCAAGGAAGGUAUGUAUCCCCUCAAAGAGCAAAGUAGAAUUAGACUUCCACCACCAUUGUUUUCACCAUUGUUAUCACCAUCACCACCAUACACCAUUCAUUCGCCACCCAUGCACAUCUUGAUUAAACUUAUUGGCUUGUUACUUUGGAUCCAUGGUUUGACUAUACAAUAAAUGUCUUGUAAGUAUGUAUAUUUUAUCUCCCACCUAUGAGCUCCAGAUAUUAAAGCCUUAUUAGAGUAGGGUGAAAGGGAAGGCAAUGUCACUAUGCCUUAUACCACAAAUACUACAUAUCUUGAGAGAAGGCAUAUACCAUCAAUGCCUUGGUAAGGAUCCAAAAAUACCACAAAAGAGAGAACUGAGAGAAUCAUACAAGGAAUUUCUGAGUUUUAUUGAAAAUAUGCAAAAACCCCAGAGCUAUAGCUGAUCAAGAAUAAGAGACAUGGCACUUGGCUAGACUGUUCUAUCUUUUAACCACUCAAGACAGAAGUGACAGUUACAAGUCCCAUGGUGUAGGUAAAGUAAGUAAGUUUUAAGUCUUGACAGUUUACUCUAACUCAGAGAUGAGAUCUUAUUUAAAAGCAUGUGUACCGUCAAAUUUUUUUUAAUAUAUAUAUAUAUAUAUAUAUAUAUAUAUAUAUAUUGCAACAACUUAUGAUCCAUAGCUGAGUCUAUCUUUGCUCAGGGACGAGCAAGAGGUAAGCUUGGGGGAGUUUGUUGACGGUCCUUAAGUAUCAAAUUUAAUUAUCAAAUAAAUAAAGAAAAGGACCCAAAUGAAAUCAACAUCUAGACUUAGGGUUUUAUCUGACAGAAUUCCAUGAGUUUUGGUGUUUGUCUAUUUCUGCAGGGGGUUAUCAGGAAAUAUGGAAGAAAGGCCCACAUGUCAGGAUUACGUAAAGAUAUUAACGUGCUGCGCAAUUAUCUUACAUCUAGAAGACUCCAGAAGCCACGAGACCAAAGCGGAGGCAAAACGGGGCCAGACCCUGGGCGGCCGCCCAGUUGGUCAGGGCGCCCGCCCUGCCCCUGAGUCCAAUCAGGACUCUGCUUUGCGGGAGAUCUCCACCGACCUAAAGGAUGAAUCUAAACCAUACAAUCUAUGUCGGUUUUAUCCAAGCGCCCAUAUUCACUUGAAGGGACUAUAAAACCAGACCCCCUGGCCCCUGGAGGAGAGAGCCUCUCAACCCUAAUUCAUUGUUCCAUCAAGGGAGAAGAAGGCUCUGAUCAAGAUUAGAGCCACCACAUCAAUUAGAUAUCUAGAUUAGCAUAGCUACAUAGGAUUAGAACUAGAAGGAGUCAAUCUUCGAUUGGUUUCCAGAUCUGUCAGGAGGAUUCUUGGUAAUUCUCUAAUUGUGCUUCUAAUUGCUUUCUAAUUAUCUUUGUUCUUCAAUAUUAU